AGAGUACAGGAUCCCUAUUUCCACUGAGGAGAGGGAAGCAGCUCUGAGGAUAUAGGCCCUUCUCUGAGCCAACCUCUGGCCCUUGGCUCCUCUGCCAUUUCUCAGCCAGUCCUGAGUCCUGGACUCUCAUCUGCCCUUGCUGGGACCACUGCCUCACUUCCUCCCCUGACCUUUCUGUCUGUGCUCAACACCGCAGUCAGGCUGACCUGCACACCAGUGGAAUCCGCCCCUGCUCUGCUCAGAACUCUCCAACAGCUCCAGUGGCCUCAGAUUCAAAGGCAGGGUACUGGCAGCCUCUGUCUUGGGUGGGCGAACGCAUGGGUGGAUGGACAGAUGGAUGAAUGUGACCAAAUGAAGGCGUCUUCCUGCAAGUUCCGUCUUCAUGGUCCGCAGUGCUCCCCGUGGCUGAGCAUGCCCUCAUUCUUGAGCCACCCGGACUCCACUGCCGCCCCAUUGGCUUCCUCCUUGCCAGCCACCCCUUCCUGGUCUUGUCUGACUCACCCUCACCAUGUUGACCUGUGAGUGUGUGAGCCCAAGGCCCCCGGAGGAGUCUUCAUCCGUGUUCCACCAAGUCAGCC
RNAcentral lists this long non-coding RNA (578 nucleotides) under Fukomys damarensis (Damara mole-rat). Its description in RNAcentral is "lncRNA (ENSFDAG00000023986.1)". The record is from RNAcentral. Lineage: Eukaryota; Metazoa; Chordata; Mammalia; Rodentia; Bathyergidae.